This 616-nucleotide ribosomal RNA is filed under the name uncultured bacterium. RNAcentral describes it as "bacterial SSU rRNA". It matches the Rfam family "Bacterial small subunit ribosomal RNA", at positions 8 to 668 of the family's 1533-position model. The record is from RNAcentral.
AGAGUUUGAUCCUGGCUCAGAACGAACGCUGGCGGCAGGCUUAAUACAUGCAAGUCGAACGGUUGUAGCAAUACAGCAGUGGCAGACGGGUGAGUAACACGUGGGAACCUACCUAGGGGUACGGAAUAACUCAGGGAAACUUGUGCUAAUACCGUAUACGACCUCAGGGUGAAAGAUUUAUCGCCCCUAGAUGGGCCCGCGUUGGAUUAGCUAGUUGGUGAGGUAAAAGCUCACCAAGGCGACGAUCCAUAGCUGGUCUGAGAGGAUGAUCAGCCACACUGGGACUGAGACACGGCCCAGACUCCUACGGGAGGCAGCAGUAGGGAAUCUUGGACAAUGGGCGAAAGCCUGAUCCAGCCAUGCCGCGUGAGUGAUGAAGGCCUUAGGGUUGUAAAGCUCUUUCGCCAGGGAAGAUAAUGACGGUACCUGGAUAAGAAGCCCCGGCUAACUUCGUGCCAGCAGCCGCGGUAAUACGAAGGGGGCUAGCGUUGUUCGGAAUUACUGGGCGUAAGGCGCACGUANGCGGCGAUUUAAGUCAGAGGUGAAAGCCCGGGGCUCCACCCCGGAAUAGCCUUUGAGACUGGAUUGCUUGAACAUCGGAGAGGUGAGUGGAAUU